GACGAACGCUGGCGGCGUGCUUAACACAUGCAAGUCGAACGGAAAGGCCCUGCUUUUGUGGGGUGCUCGAGUGGCGAACGGGUGAGUAACACGUGAGUAACCUGCCCUUGACUUUGGGAUAACUUCAGGAAACUGGGGCUAAUACAGGAUAGGAGCUCCUGCUGCAUGGUGGGGGUUGGAAAGUUUCGGCGGUUGGGGAUGGACGCGCGGCUUAUCAGCUUGUUGGUGGGGUAGUGGCUUACCAAGGCUUUGACGGGUAGCCGGCCUGAGAGGGUGACCGGGCACAUUGGGCCUGAGAUACGGCCCAGACUCCAACGGGGGACAGCAGUGGGGAAUAUUGCACAAUGGGCGGAAGCCUGAUGCAGCAACGCCGCGUGCGGGAUGACGGCCUUCUGGUUGUAAACCGCUGUCGCCUGUGACGAAGCGGGAGUGACGGUAAUGGGUAAAGAAGCACCGGCUAACUACGUG
This 468-nucleotide ribosomal RNA is filed under the name uncultured bacterium. RNAcentral's name for it is "partial 16S ribosomal RNA". It matches the Rfam family "Bacterial small subunit ribosomal RNA", at positions 28 to 507 of the family's 1533-position model. The record is from RNAcentral.